UGCAGGAUGGAGUAAACAAGGUAACUCAUUAGGCUCAUGAUCUAAAGAUUGUAGGUUCAAAUCCUUCUCCUGCAU
Molecule: transfer RNA, 75 nt
Filed under: Pyramimonas parkeae
Lineage: Eukaryota; Viridiplantae; Chlorophyta; Pyramimonadophyceae; Pyramimonadales; Pyramimonadaceae
Description: tRNA-fMet
Rfam family: tRNA
About the family: Transfer RNA (tRNA) molecules are approximately 80 nucleotides in length. Their secondary structure includes four short double-helical elements and three loops (D, anti-codon, and T loops).
Source: RNAcentral